UUUAUAUGAGAGUUUGAUCCUGGCUCAGGAUGAACGCUGGCGGCGUGCCUAAUACAUGCAAGUCGAACGAGUUCUGAUUAUUGAAAGGUGCUUGCAUCUUGAUUUAAUUUUGAACGAGUGGCGGACGGGUGAGUAACACGUGGGUAACCUGCCCUUAAGUGGGGGAUAACAUUUGGAAACAGAUGCUAAUACCGCAUAAAUCCAARAACCGCAUGGUUCUUGGCUGAAAGAUGGCGUAAGCUAUCGCUUUUGGAUGGACCCGCGGCGUAUUAGCUAGUUGGUGAGGUAACGGCUCACCAAGGCAAUGAUACGUAGCCGAACUGAGAGGUUGAUCGGCCACAUUGGGACUGAGACACGGCCCAAACUCCUACGGGAGGCAGCAGUAGGGAAUCUUCCACAAUGGACGCAAGUCUGAUGGAGCAACGCCGCGUGAGUGAAGAAGGCUUUCGGGUCGUAAAACUCUGUUGUUGGAGAAGAAUGGUCGGCAGAGUAACUGUUGUCGGC
RNAcentral lists this ribosomal RNA (504 nucleotides) under Lacticaseibacillus rhamnosus. RNAcentral describes it as "bacterial SSU rRNA". It matches the Rfam family "Bacterial small subunit ribosomal RNA", at positions 1 to 476 of the family's 1533-position model. Lineage: Bacteria; Bacillati; Bacillota; Bacilli; Lactobacillales; Lactobacillaceae. The record is from RNAcentral.